This 381-nucleotide ribosomal RNA is filed under the name Triticum aestivum (bread wheat). RNAcentral's name for it is "partial small subunit ribosomal RNA". Lineage: Eukaryota; Viridiplantae; Streptophyta; Magnoliopsida; Poales; Poaceae. The record is from RNAcentral.
AUGGAGAGUAAUAGAGCUCCUGGUCCUGAUAACAUUCCAGCAGAAUUCUAUAAAGCUUGCUGGGACUUUGUGAAGGUGGAUAUCAUGCGCAUAUUUGAGGCUUUCCAUGCGGGAACAUUGGACAUGGCCCGACUGAACUAUGGGGUGCUUACGCUGAUUCCUAAAAUGGCGGGAGCUAAGAAAAUCCAAUAGUUCCAUCCUAUUUGCCUUCUUCGUUUUCCCUAUAAGCUAAUCACAAAAGUGUUGGAUAACCGUCUAGCUAUCUACGCGGAUAAACUGAUCAACCUUCACCAAAAUGCCUUCAUUAAAAACAGAAACAUCAUGGAUGGAAUUCUGUCUUUGCAUGAGGUAUUACAUCAUACCCACGUUAAGAAAAAAUAG